CCAGCUCCAAUAGCGUAUAUUAAAGUUGUUGCAGUUAAAAAGCUCGUAGUUGAAUUUCAGAAAUGUAAAUAUUUGUGGCUUCGGUUGCGUAUGUUUAUAUUUCUUUCUGAUACGAAUCAUUAAGCCUUAAACAGCUUUUUGCUACGUAUCUCCUUUACUGUGAGUAAAUUAGAGUGUUUAAAGCAGGCUUUCCGCUUGAAUACAUUAGCAUGGAAUAAUGAGAUAAGACGUGAGUCGUAUUUCGUUGGUUACACGACACCGUAAUGAUUAAUAGGGACAGUUGGGGGUAUUCAUAUUUAUCAGUCAGAGGUGAAAUUCUUGGAUUUGAUAAAGAUGAACGACUGCGAAAGCAUUUACCAAGGAUGUUUUCA
RNAcentral lists this ribosomal RNA (371 nucleotides) under uncultured Bicosoecida. RNAcentral describes it as "SSU rRNA". It matches the Rfam family "Eukaryotic small subunit ribosomal RNA", at positions 585 to 972 of the family's 1831-position model. The record is from RNAcentral. Lineage: Eukaryota; Bigyra; Bicosoecida.